Molecule: ribosomal RNA, 365 nt
Filed under: uncultured eukaryote
Lineage: Eukaryota
Description: partial 18S ribosomal RNA
Rfam family: Eukaryotic small subunit ribosomal RNA
Source: RNAcentral
CAAUAGCGUAUAUUAACGUUGUUGCAGUUAAAAAGCUCGUAGUUGGAUUUCUGGAGGGAGCGUCGGCCCGUAUUUACGAGUGCGUGACGUCUCUGUCCAUCCUUGCGGGAAGGCACGGCAUUGAUUUGUUGUGUCGGAUCGCAUCAUUUACUGUGAAAAAAUUAGAGUGUUCAAAGCAGGCUUUCGCUUGAAUACAUUAGCAUGGAAUAAUAAGAUAGGACUUUGGUGCUAUUUUGUUGGUUGAGCCUAAAGUAAUGAAUAAUAGGGAUAGUUGGGGGCACCUGUAUUGCGUUGUCAGAGGUGAAAUUCUUGGAUUUACGCAAGACAAACAGCUGCGAAAGCGUCUGCCAAGGAUGUUUUCAUUA